CAGGCUAAUGUUCUUUUAAUGUGCUAUCUUCAAAUAUAGUGCCUUGGAGGGUUAUGUGUGUCCUUAUAAAUAAAGCAAAAGCCAGAAAUGCCAAAGUAUAAAUGGACAACACUGAACUCCUUAAGAUGGCAAAAGGCAGGCAGUAUAGUUUGUUUUCAUGAUGUGUGAUUCCCAGGAGCCUCAGCAGAUUUCAGCAGGGGAAACCUACCAGAGAAGUCCUCUUGGCUGCAGAUUACAAGAUCUUUAAGGAGCUCUGUAGAAGUAGAGAAGGGUUAUUAAAAAGAGAUUACUUCCAGGCUGUGACAAACUUGUCGGCACAAGCUAAAAGUGACUUUUCAGAUGUUUACAACGAGUUUGAUAAGAUUUUUAGAAGGACAUCAUUAAGCACCUCUUCAGCACUGAGGGCUGACAAGGUCGUAGGAGUGCUGCGAAAGAGACGCAUCAAGGAAUUGAUCUCUGGUUUUCACAUGCCAGUAAAAGUUAGGACAGCAUCCUCAACAGCAGGUGACCUGGAUUCAGCUAAAGGAGGGUUCAGCAUCCAUUUCCUGAAGGUGAGAAGAAUUUAUUCAGAAUAAUGCGAGGUAAGACACUCUUCCUAGAAGUAGCUGCAUGUGUGUACAAUAAUUUAAAAGUCAUUAGAUGGAAAGAGGGAGCUGUCAGUUAUGCCACAUAGUACAGCCUAGUGACUGAAGUUCUUCCUACAAGAAAGAAAGCCUGUUUUUCUUGUGAGUGCCAGGGUCCUCCCUGGAUUUUAUCUUAUAAUGGUUUCUUCACUGUCUUUUGUAAUUAAAAAGAAAAACAAACAAACAAACAAAUGUGCUCACUUUUCUUCAUCCCUUCUCAACACAUCAUGUCUUAAAUUUUUAUUCCGUUUACUUUUUAAGAUUAUAACACAAUCCAAACAUAUUUAGGGUGAAUUCUUUUUGAACUAAAUCUGCCUGAUUCCUUUGUGAGAAUGGAUGGGGGCCCCCUGCAUAGGAUAAAAAUCCCUUAAAACAAAAAGGGAUUUUUAUCCCUUUAAUAAAAAGGGAUACAAAUUCUGCCUUAUAGAUCCU
RNAcentral lists this long non-coding RNA (1055 nucleotides) under Junco hyemalis (dark-eyed junco). RNAcentral's name for it is "lncRNA (ENSJHYG00000007770.1)". The record is from RNAcentral. Lineage: Eukaryota; Metazoa; Chordata; Aves; Passeriformes; Passerellidae.